UGGCACACGUAGGCGGUGAGAUUUUUCUUAGUCUCCCCUUGACCGUUAUGCGUUGUCAUUUGAAUAGCUGUGCUUUGAAAGGUUUGCAUAUUUUAUGACGUCACUAAGACGCUCAAUUUAUGGGUUGAAUAUUUUACCGCUGAGGAAUUUAGAGCCAAUUUCUCGAAGAUUCAUUGCACAUCUCGAUCAGGAUUUUAAAGAUAUUUUUUGUUAGCUGAAGAAGAAAACCUUCGCACUUCGCCUUGAUGCGUACAGAGUCCUCUGCCUGGUGUAAAUUCACCAUUAAAACCGCGUUAUAAAAAGGAUAUUUCAACAAACUCUUCACAUUGAAAAUGGAGAUUAAUUCACGCGCUAAAUUAUAUUUCAUACCUGAGCCACGUGUUUUCAUUUAGGAACCGGAACAUAAAGUAUUUUUAAUAUAUAUUGUAACGCCAAAAAAUAUACAAAUAUCUUGAAUAAUAGACAAAUGAUAGUCACAGA
Long non-coding RNA from Pieris brassicae (large cabbage white), 480 nucleotides. RefSeq lists it as uncharacterized. The transcript has 2 exons. The record is from RefSeq and is a predicted model, not a curated record. Lineage: Eukaryota; Metazoa; Arthropoda; Insecta; Lepidoptera; Pieridae.